Long non-coding RNA from Manis javanica (Malayan pangolin), 2045 nucleotides. RefSeq lists it as uncharacterized. The record is from RefSeq and is a predicted model, not a curated record. NCBI's taxonomy places the organism in Eukaryota, Metazoa, Chordata, Mammalia, Pholidota, Manidae.
GCACCAGGCUAUUGGUCCUGAUUGGGGCGCGCACAGGUGACGUAAGGGGAGCCAUUUUGAACGGCCGUUUUAUUUCGUUAGUUCCUUCGAAGACUCUCUUCUUCACUUUUGGUCCGGUUUCUCAGGAGCUCUUCUAAAGGUCCAAAUACCGCAUUUCUGAAAAAACAGCUAAGUAAACGAGAAAAUGCCGCCUCUUGAAACGGAAAUAGCGGAAGGAACAGAUCGGAGACUAAGGAUGGAGUAUCAUAUGACAGAGAUUAAAGAGCUGUGCUCAGCGAUAAAGAGAAUAGUAUCAGACCAUGUGAAAAAUAGCAGGCAUUUGAGAGAGAGAACGGAAAUGUGCCAGCCUAAUGGGGCACAAAAUCGAGUUUCUGAAGUAAAUGCAAAACAAGAGGAAUCCUCACAGCAAGCGGAAGAAAUGGAAAAGAAAGUAGAAGAGAGACGUAGAGAGCGGUCCAGUAGAUAAAAAUCUGUGCCUAAUAAGAAUAUCUGAAACAGGCAAAACAAAUGAAGCUGAAACGAUAAAUAACUAAUAGAAGAAAAUUGUCCAGAGUUGAAGAGCAAACCAGAUCUGCAAGUAGAAAAGGCUCAAAGAUACUUUUUUUUGAAGUUCAGCGAAAAGAAAGCAACAGCUUGACAUUCCUGGUGAUGUUUUUAAAUUGGAAGAAUGUAAAAAAAUUAUACAAGUAUCCAGAGAAAGCAAGUUUAUUUAUAAAGGGGCAAAAGUUAGGCUGACUUCUCUCUGACAUCAGAUUUCUCUCCUGCAACUCUAAAUGCCAGAAGAUAGUGUAAUAAUGCUUUCAGUUUUAAGGGAAAAUAAUUUUGAACCAGUAUUUAUAUAUCUUGGCAAGUUAUUUCUGUAUGAAGGCAAUUGGAAGACAUUCACAGAUACGCAGGGGUUAAAGUAAAUCACCCAAUUAUCAUCCUUGAAAGCUUUACUGAGUAUCACAGCCAAAGAAUGAAUUAAAGUAACUAAAUAGUAGGGGAGUGAGUUAUGAAAAAAUUAGUGGUAAACUUUUAACUAGUUAAACAGUAUUAAGAUUGUUAUAGGUAGUUAUAAAACCAAAUGCAAAAUAGAUUUUUAAGUUGGGUCUGUGAUUUGUUUGAAAAGACAUGCUAAACGUUAAAUAGAGGAAUGAAUACUGGAUUUUUUUUGGCAUGUAGUGUAGAUAUGCAUGUUCUUAGCUAAACAUAAAUAAAAGGGCUUUGUCACUGGACAGGACACAUUCCAAAUGUUCAUCUGACAAAAUGGGAAACCAGUUGGUACAGUUGUAUUACCCCUCUUUUUAAUUGUAAAGGAGAAAAAAGUUACCAGUUCGUAAUAUACUAGUACUGUAAAAAGAACAUUUCCAAAUCACUGGUUGGGGAGACAGUGGAUUAAAACCUUAUUUUGUGUAUACAUCUUGCCUGAGGAAAAUCAAUAGGUACUGCUGGUGUAAUAGUUCAUUAUAAGUAAAUUUGACAUUGAGGUUUAAGAUGAAAAUAGAAUAUAUAUUCUAAUUGUUUGGAUUGUAGCUGAAGUGGUGAAAAAACAAUAAAAAUAGCAAGGAGGUAUUAAAACUAGCAUAGGAUAAAUUGACAGAGGUAUAGAUAAGUUACCACACUCAUAAACAGGUUAAAUAUUCCUAUUAAAAAUAAUUCAGAUUGGAUCAAAAAUUGCUCUGUAACCAUGGAUACUCUCAUUUGUAUUGCACAAGUAUACAAGUUUAAAGAUAAUGGAAACAAGUCAUAGAAGUAGGCAUAAACAUUUUUUUAUUAGAACUCAAGCUACAACGAAUUAUAAAACAGUACAGGAUGUUUAAGAGGUUUUAUGGUAAAUAACAUGGCAUUCAGAAUGUAAAACGUUUGAUAAUCUUGAUGUGAGUGGUAGUUAUACUGAUGUAUGCAUAUGUUUAAAAAGUUAUAACUUAAAAUUAGUCUGUUUUAUGUACUUAAAAUGAAUAGAGUAAUUCAAUUAAAAACACUGCAAAUACUAUUGGACUGAAAUACAGUCUUUAGUAAAUCAAGUAAAUAAAAAGUUGAAAUAAAGAUAACUAAAUAGUUAA